This 465-nucleotide ribosomal RNA is filed under the name uncultured bacterium. Its description in RNAcentral is "bacterial SSU rRNA". It matches the Rfam family "Bacterial small subunit ribosomal RNA", at positions 338 to 795 of the family's 1533-position model. The record is from RNAcentral.
CCUACGGGGUGCACCAGUAGGGAAUCUUCGGCAAUGGACGAAAGUCUGACCGAGCAACGCCGCGUGAGUGAAGAAGGUUUUCGGAUCGUAAAACUCUGUUGUUAGAGAAGAACAAGUAGGAGAGUAACUGCUCUUACCUUGACGGUAUCUAACCAGAAGGCCACGGCUAACUACGUGCCAGCAGCCGCGGUAAUACGUAGGUGGCAAGCGUUGUCCGGAUUUAUUGGGCGUAAAGCGAGCGCAGGCGGUCUUUUAAGUCUGAUGUGAGAGCCCUCGGCUCAACCGAGGAAGGUCAUUGGAAACUGGAGGACUUGAGUGCAGAAGAGGAGAGUGGAAUUCCAUGUGUAGCGGUGAAAUGCGUAGAUAUAUGGAGGAUCACCAGUGGCGAAGGCGGCCUGCUGGACAUUAACUGACGCUGAGGAGCGAAAGCGUGGGGAGCAAACAGGAUUAGAUACCCGCGUAGUC